CCUACGGGGGGCAGCAGUGGGGAAUAUUGGACAAUGGGCGAAAGCCUGAUCCAGCCAUGCCGCGUGUGUGAAGAAGGCCUUCGGGUUGUAAAGCACUUUCAGUGGGGAAGAAAGCCUUGGGGCUAAUACCCUCGAGGAAGGACAUCACCCACAGAAGAAGCACCGGCUAACUCCGUGCCAGCAGCCGCGGUAAUACGGAGGGUGCGAGCGUUAAUCGAAAUUACUGGGCGUAAAGCGCGCGUAGGCGGUCUGAUAAGCCGGUUGUGAAGGCCCCGGGCUCAACCUGGGAACGGCAUCCGGAACUGUCAGGCUAGAGUGCAGGAGAGGAAGGUAGAAUUCCCGGUGUAGCGGUGAAAUGCGUAGAGAUCGGGAGGAAUACCAGUGGCGAAGGCGGCCUUCUGGACUGACACUGACGCUGAGGUGCGAAAGCGUGGGUAGCAAACAGGAUUAGAUACCCGAGUAGUC
This 465-nucleotide ribosomal RNA is filed under the name Vreelandella stevensii. RNAcentral describes it as "partial 16S ribosomal RNA". It matches the Rfam family "Bacterial small subunit ribosomal RNA", at positions 338 to 795 of the family's 1533-position model. The record is from RNAcentral. Lineage: Bacteria; Pseudomonadati; Pseudomonadota; Gammaproteobacteria; Oceanospirillales; Halomonadaceae.